Molecule: ribosomal RNA, 454 nt
Filed under: uncultured bacterium
Lineage: Bacteria
Description: partial 16S ribosomal RNA
Rfam family: Bacterial small subunit ribosomal RNA
Source: RNAcentral
GAUGAACGCUGACAGAAUGCUUAACACAUGCAAGUCUACUUGAACUUCGGUUUGGGUGGCGGACGGGUGAGUAACGCGUAAAGAACUUGCCUCACAGUUAGGGACAACAUUUGGAAACGAAUGCUAAUACCUGAUAUUAUGAUUUUAGGGCAUCCUAGGAUUAUGAAAGCUAUAUGUGCUGUGAGAGAGCUUUGCGUCCCAUUAGCUAGUUGGAGAGGUAACGGCUCACCAAGGCGAUGAUGGGUAGCCGGCCUGAGAGGGUGAACGGCCACAAGGGGACUGAGACACGGCCCUUACUCCUACGGGAGGCAGCAGUGGGGAAUAUUGGACAAGGGACCAAAAGUCUGAUCCAGCAAUUCUGUGUGCACGAUGACGUUUUUCGGAAUGUAAGGUGCUUUCAGUUGGGAAGAAAAAAAUGACGGUACCAACAGAAGAAGUGACGGCUAAAUACGUG